GUCGAGAUGCUGGAGAGGUUAACAGGUACGCCUUGAAUCGAGUGGUUCAGAUAGCGUAUGGCAUUUGCCGCGUAGGUUCGAACCCUACUCUCGACG
Kalaharituber pfeilii is the source of this 96-nucleotide non-coding RNA. The record is from the annotation of a GenBank genome assembly. Lineage: Eukaryota; Fungi; Ascomycota; Pezizomycetes; Pezizales; Pezizaceae.